Anneissia japonica is the source of this 2320-nucleotide long non-coding RNA. RefSeq lists it as uncharacterized. The record is from RefSeq and is a predicted model, not a curated record. The transcript has 4 exons. Lineage: Eukaryota; Metazoa; Echinodermata; Crinoidea; Comatulida; Comatulidae.
UUUUUCUCUUUGCACGUGUGUUUGUUUUGAUAUUUUGGGUUUUAAAGAAAGUUUUAUUCUUGAAUAAUUAUCAUAAAUGUAUAGUACGUUUACUUAGAUAUAUAUGCAGUGAAUUCAAGAGUAACAUGUGAAGACUAUAAUGAAAUCGUAAAUCUUGAAGAUCAGUCUACAGUAUACAUUUCAAAUGCCUUCAUCCUGUUUUAUUCAAAGGGUCAUGAUUUCAGUUCAGUAUUGGGUGUGAAAGCAAAUUUGUAUGUUUUUUGAAAGGCUCCAUUCUUUUACAGUGGCAGAUACAACCUUUUACUAUGAAGCCAAUGUUUUUUUACUGACCUGGGAAAAUGAACAUGACUAAUGAAAUCUACAGUAAUAAGGAAAUUUGCAGAAACAUUUCUAAUAUUAGUAGCUUCUAUUUGAAUAUAUUUUUUAAAUUCUUCCUGCUUUAAGGCCAAAUAAAUGAAACAUGUUUGAUGUUUCCUUGUUUCAUGCGGCUAUCUCUUGUUGUUACUGGCAAAACACAAAGGCAAUCUUGUAGAAAUGCUCAUAUUGUCAGCAAUUUAUCAGACCUGCCAACUCACCCGAUCCUGUCGGGUGUCACCCGAUAUCUAAACAAAUCUCCAGUUCUCCCAGAUCGAAUGUAGUUUUUAACCGAUUUCACUGAUUUUGCAGGUUCCAUCCGCAAAAUACUCUGAUUUAUGCAUAAAUGAUUUAUUGGAUCAUUAUUAUCCAAUGUAUUCGCCUCGAUACACAAGCAGCAAUUUAAUAAGUUGUUUUGCAGUAAUUUUGUACCAUUGAUUUUAUACCACUAUGAUUUGUCUGGACGUGUCUUUUUUAGUACAUUGGAUCAUCUUUUUGGUAAUACUGGAAACCUCCAGAUUUUUUAGUAAAUCUCCAGAUUUUUUUAAGAUUUAAAAAAAAGAUUUUCAUGACCCAGGGGUUGGCAGAUCUGAUUUAUGCUCAUAUUGUCAUUAGCCAUUUAUGCUCAUACUGUAGUGUCAGCAAAUUGUGCUCACAUUGUCAGCAACUUAUACUCAUAUUGUCAGUAACUUGUGUCAUAUUGUCAGCAACUUAUGCUCAUAUUGUCAGCAACUCUUAUCCUUAUAUUGUCAGCAACUUACACUCAUGUUGUAAUAGUAAUUUUUAUGCUCAUAUUGUCAGCAACUUAUCCUCAUUGUCAGCAAAUUAUGCUCAUAUUGUCAAUAACGUAUAUUGCUCAUAUUGUCAGCACAUUUGCUCAUGUUGUCAGCAAAUUAUGCUCAUAUUGUCAACAACCUAUGCUAAUAUUGUCAGCAACUUAUGCUCAUAUUGUAUUGUCCUGGUAUUAUAGAGAAGCGAAAUCCAAAGACAAUAUUAAUGAAGGUUUUUGACAUAGAAACAUCCUCAUAGUAUUACUAAUAAUUAUUCAUAUUUCAUAUGGUAUGCAAAUUACAAGUUUCUCAAUUUUUUUCCUCUCAUAAAUCAUCCUCAAAUUAAAUGAUACAAAUGCUCUAAAAUGCAAGUAUUACAGUAUCCUCAAGUGUCUGUAUCUGAUGACAAAAAACAAAAACAAGACAUUAAAAAAACAAUCAUUCUAAAACCAUGUACAGACUAAUCAAAUUUUAUUUGACAAAAACAUGUGAUAUGCCUAAAUAUGGUCAUGAUGACAUCACAUCAUGGGAAUGCAACAGUUUUUUAAGUUACUGCACUAUUAGCCUCUAUUAUUACAUCCACUGUAAGCAGUCAUUUUAUACAUAUAAACAUGUACUAAAUCAUCACAAUAAACAUUAUUAGAUUUUUCUAUGCAAAGUCAAUCAUUGGUAUUAAAUAGCAGUCGCUCUCAGUAAACAUAUAUUAAAUUUGUAGCGUAUGGAGACUCGCUUCCUGGAAGCUAAACAAUGAAGGAAAAUUAAUUCCAUAAUAAACAAAGCUAUCAAAGUACAGAUACUGAAUUAUUUAAACAGAUACUGAAAUUAAUUUUAGCAGUGUCUUUCUUGGAAAUUAUCGGCUAUCAAAGGGAUACUGCUGUUCAACUAUUAAACUAUUCAACUAUUAAGGAAAACAAAGGAGAGCAAUGCAUUUUUAAUGCUUAUUUGAAUAUUUUUAUAUCCUCUAAAUACCUUUUAAAUUAAAUUUGCUCAUUUAUUGAUUUUUACACAUUUUUCUAUAUUUCAAUAUUUAUCUUUCGAUUUUUUUUCUUUUUGAAGAAUGUUGUAUUGUAAGUAUUUGUGUUUUUCUCGUGAAGGGCCUCCACUCGACAGUGAUUGAUUUUAUUUUGGAAUGUCCUGUCUCUUUUUUUGUACUUUUAUGAUUGUUCUUUGCCGUUUCUGUUAUAUGUACAUUUUAA